This 1735-nucleotide long non-coding RNA is filed under the name Brassica napus (rape). RNAcentral's name for it is "long non-coding RNA (BNAP_LNC001935)". The record is from RNAcentral. Lineage: Eukaryota; Viridiplantae; Streptophyta; Magnoliopsida; Brassicales; Brassicaceae.
CCAUUCCAAUCACAUCUAAUGCCUCCCUCGCUCGCCAGAGGUAUGCCGACUCUUGCGAGGCUGCCAUUAACGAGCAAAUCAAGUAAGCAUCCAUCCAUUAAAAUCAAAAGCUCCCUUAAAAUUUAGAUAUUAACAGAGGUUGAGGUUGAUUUUUGGACAGUGUGGAAUACAACGUGUCGUAUGUGUACCAUUCAAUGUACGCCUACUUUGACAGAGACAACGUUGCUCUCAAGGGUCUUGCCAAGUAACUUUUUCUUACUACUACUACUGCCUUUCAAUCUUAAUCUAACUAAAGCAAAAAUUUAAUAAUAUGAUAAAACUUGGUUCAGAUUUUUCAAGGAAUCAAGUGAUGAAGAAAGAGAGCACGCUGAGAAGUUUAUGGAGUACCAGGUUUCCCUCUCUUUUUUCCCCAUUCUAGAAGUUGAAAAGAAUAUUGAUUUGAUUUGAGGGUUAAUAUAUGUAUGGUUUAUGUAUAUGUGUGUAGAACAAAAGAGGAGGAAGAGUGACACUCCACCCUAUCGUCUCCCCUAUCUCUGAUUUUGAACAUGCUGAAAAAGGAGAUGCCUUAUAUGGUAUAUAUUUUUUUUUAUACUUAUACAAAAAAAAAAAACACUUUCUUUCUUGAUUAAUAAGUGUAUACACAGAUCUUGAAAUGGUCUUAUACUAAUCUAUAUUAUUUUCAGCAAUGGAAUUGGCCCUGUCUCUGGAGAAACUUACCAACGAGAAGCUUCUAAACCUUCACAGAGUAUGUUCCCAAAACUUAUCCAUCUAAAGUCAAUCAAAUAAGGCAUUCACUAAUUUUAAAAUAAUAAUUAAAAAAAACAGGUGGCAUCAGAGAACAAUGACCCACAGUUAGCUGAUUUUGUUGAGAGUGAGUUUCUCGGAGAGCAGGUGUGUUUUUCUUUUGUUCGUUUUCUUAACUAGUGACUUGAAACUAGUACCCACUUUUAAAUAAACAUAUUUUUCUCUCCCCCUUAGAUUGAAGCAAUCAAGAAGAUCUCAGACUUCAUCACCCAGCUAAGGAUGGUUGGCAAAGGACACGGUACGCUGUUUGAUCUAAACCUCCCCUAUAUUCAGUACUAGGACUAGAAUUUCAGUAGUAAUUUUUUUAGAAAAGCUUAUUAAAUUUUUAUGUGUCUUUUGCAGGAGUUUGGCACUUCGACCAGAUGCUUCUGAACUAGAGUGGGACCUCUAUAAGUUCACUUUAUGCUCUGGGGAGAUUAAAAGAGAAGUAAACAGAAGAAGAUUCUGUAAAAGUUGCUAGAGUGGAAGUUAUUAUUGGAGCAAAAAUAAGAUUUGUAGUACUAAUAGUAGUAAGCUUUGUGUGUUAAGAUGAUGGGUUUUUUUUUGUAAUAAUUUCAUAAGUUUAAUCUAUGAAGGUGGUUUUUGUUUCAUAUUUUCAUGUUCUGACUAUAUAUAUGAACAAACGGAGACUUGAGUCCGAUUAAUAGGUAGAGAAACACUCUAACUAAACGCAAUGCUGCAAUUCAAAAGGUGAAAGAAGAGUUAAAAAAAAAUAAGGAACCUGUGGAUGAAGAACAUGAAGCCUCGGUCACUCAGUGAGAUAACUGAAAAGCAAACAAAGAAGAGUUAAAAAGAAAAGAUAUAUGAAUUGAGACUUUAACAUAAGUGCAAUGCAAGUUGUUUAUAUUUCCAAACAGUAUGUUUGAUCCAGAGCUAGUAUCUGAUGCCCUAACUUAGAUUCUAUCUUGAACACUAGACUAGACAGUCUUCU